CAACACGCAUAAAUAAAGGCAUUCCUGCAUAUCAGCGACAAAUCUUCUGAAAUGGAAAUGAGGACAACCACCCCAUUCACAAUAUCCUCAAAAAAAAAAUACUUGGGAAUCAACCUAACAAAAGAGGUGAAAGAUUUAUACAAUGAAAACUAUAGAACCCUAAAGAGAGAAAUAGAAGAAGAUCUUAGAAGAUGGAAAAAUAUACCCUGUUCAUGGAUAGGCAGAACUAACAUCAUCAAAAUGGCGAUAUUACCCAAAGUUCUCUAUAGGU
RNAcentral lists this long non-coding RNA (271 nucleotides) under Marmota monax (woodchuck). The record is from RNAcentral. Lineage: Eukaryota; Metazoa; Chordata; Mammalia; Rodentia; Sciuridae.